CUGAAAACCAGAGCUCGUCCGUGGCUUCACUUGUUUUGGACUAAGGAGCUGAGGAGCGUGCAAGACUGUACUUGGAGAAUCUGUUUCUUGCUGCCAUUUCGUCACUGAACACUAUUUUUUUUCUCCUUCUUUUUUUGUAAGAAAAGGAGAACACAUAAAACCCCACCAGAACAAACUCCACUCGGCCCUGAAAGUAUUUACAAUCACGGCCCUGAAAGUACUGAAAGUAUUUACAAUCACGUUACAGUUCAUUCACUGCUGCAGAACCUCUCUCCAGCGAUCAAGGUCGAAGGGAGCCGACGUCGCCCUCUAUCGGCUCCCUGCUGCACUAGAAGCCGGACUCACUCAGGAGGCCCUUCAUCUUCAUGUUCCCCACAUAGCAGAGGGGAGGGCAGAAGAUGAGAGGGAGGAGAGAGCAGAGCCAAGAGCCUCCUUUUCUCCCACUGUGCCCCUCCUAUGUGUGGCUCUGGACACCAGGAACCACCCAAGGACAGUGGGACUCCUCGAAAAGAUAAUUGCUCAUGAGGGAUCCAAGAGCAAGGCUUGUUACAUCCUAUAACCUUCACACAAAAUAUUGACUGAGAAUCCUCCAUGUGCCAAGUACUGUUCAAAAACACUGGGAACCCAGCAGGGAUGAGCCACAAGUUUCCUUGUCUUUACGAAGCUUUCAUUCUGAGGGAGUGGAGAGAGACAAGCAAUAAACAACCAAUCAAAACAAAGAUGACUCCUCUGAGUGUUGUGAUAUGCGGGUCAAGGAGGAUGGCUCCCAGGAUGUGACCUCAGAGCAGAAGCCUGGAGGCUUGCCAGCAGCGGGAAGAGCAGCGGCAGGGCACUGCAGGCAGAGGUGACCAAAAGCGUGAAACCUUGAGCUGGGAAGCACGUGGUCUGCUGGAAAGUGGGCUGAUGUAUUUGAAGAGAGCAAGGAGCAGAAUGGUACAAUGGGGUGAUGGGGGAAGAGCCAGGCAGAGCCCAGUGCUGCAAAGCCCGGUAGCACAUACAUGUGUAACGUACCUUGAAGCAAAUGAAUGGCCUGAUCUGGUUUCUGUUUUGGCUGCUCUGUGGUGAUGUGGUGCCUGGGAGGCAAAGAAGCUGGGAAAGAAGCGGUUUUUCUCUUCUAGGUACUUUAAAGCUCUAUAAUAUAUGCUCAGGUGAAAUUUGGCUG
Molecule: long non-coding RNA, 1162 nt
Filed under: Homo sapiens (human)
Lineage: Eukaryota; Metazoa; Chordata; Mammalia; Primates; Hominidae
Description: HSALNT0306468
Source: RNAcentral